Molecule: small nucleolar RNA, 71 nt
Filed under: Drosophila ananassae
Lineage: Eukaryota; Metazoa; Arthropoda; Insecta; Diptera; Drosophilidae
Description: snoRNA:GF26104
Source: RNAcentral
AUUCUGUGAUGAACAACCUUUUCAAACAGUUAUCCCUGUCAUAAGAUACUUGAUGAUAAAGUUUGCUGACA